This 2010-nucleotide long non-coding RNA is filed under the name Mus musculus (house mouse). RNAcentral describes it as "predicted gene 14552". The record is from RNAcentral. Lineage: Eukaryota; Metazoa; Chordata; Mammalia; Rodentia; Muridae.
GGAUGCAGAGGUGGAGGAAAACAAAGAAAAGCAGAGCAGAAGCCCAUCGCCUGGGGAAACUCUACCUUAUUAGGGAAUUGAAAAACAUAGGUUCUCUCCAUGGAACACUGCAGAAGCAUGAUGGCUAAUUCGUUUGACAAGCUGGCAGGUCAAUCAACACCCUUCAGCCUGACUGUACCAGGUGUGCAUCCCUGCCCCCAAGAGUGUGCAGAUGGCAGCUACUAAUUUUCAUUCUAAAAGCAUUCCAGUAUAUAUUGUGGCUUUUGGUCUGAUUCAUCAGGCCAUAGAGACAAUAAAGAUGAGGAGGGUGACCUCUAGCUCCCAAUAUAGCCUAAGAGUCACAAAUUGUGGUGUGACAAUUGGCAUAAUUCUUGUAGAGGCAUUGCUGAACCCAUACAUGUGAGCUGCUGGCCGGCCUCAACAAAAGGGCCAAGAUACCUGGCUUAUGACUAGGUCAUUUACAAUAAAGUACCUGCUGUACAGCUGCCAAGCUUGCUAUAUAAGUGUGCAAAAAUUUGGAAUUCAGACCACAAGAAUGCUGUCUGAGUCUUCAGGCACCUGGUCAUCUGGGUCCAGGUUGAUGCUGCAGCAUGUCUUCUAACCCGCCUACCACCAGAGGGCAGCAGCGUACAUUCACAACAAUUGUUGAGAAGUGGAAGCCGAUGAAUCUUAUGUGCAGAAGAGGACAUAGCAAAAGAAGAAGCAUUCCAUACCACCUGCGUUCAUGCCUGCCAUGCCCUGGAUUUGGGCCCCCAUCUGAACCAUCUCCUGCACAUAACCAUGCUAUCAUAAUGAGGAAUCUUGAGAUCUGUGACAAUCUCUCUCUUCUCCCCAGCCCACAGCUCCAUCACACCCUACUCUAAUCACUAAGGAUCACUCAAGAUACUUCACUGUCUUCUGUUUUUCCAAAGUCCCUAAGUCACUUUAAGACUUUCUAUGUCCUCUGUAAACAGUCACAUACUCAUGUCUGGGGCUAGGUAUACAUGUGGAGAUAAGAGUGCAAGAGACAAGAAUGAAGGAGAGAAAAGUGAGGAAGGAAAAAUAAAGAGCUAUUUAUGUGGUAGGUCUGUGUUCCCCAAACACCAUGGGAUGAUCCAAGGAUAUCCAGCAUAAGGUGUGACUUCUUCAAAAUAGCCUUGAGUGAGCAGCUUAGCCCAGAGAAGACCUAAGGAUCCAAAGCAUUGCUGCAUAUUACUCUUAUGUGCAAAGAGGCCAGGAAGCUAUCCCAGGAAAUUUCAUCACAUCCCUCAAUGGCAGAUGCAUUCUACUGAGAAGAGAGCAACGGGUUCACUUGGCAAAUAUUGCUGUCACAUGAUGUCAAUGUAUCUGCAUCUCCUAUGACUUUAACUCAUCUGGAGCACUGCCUGCCUCAGGAGCCAGCACUUUUCCAAGCUGCCACAGGUCAACCUGGUCCUUGGUUUUCCUAAAGACUCCUUAGUCUGAGGGAAUUUACUUUCCCAUACUUCUGAGACCCAAAUAACCCAUUUCCCAAAUCCAGCCAGGAAAACCAAAUGGAAAUAUUUGGGGCAUCUAUGAGAAAAUUCUCCUUCAGGUCAGCAUCACUCUGUGAAGGCCAAGUUACCCUUAUCUCAAGUCUACACCAAUGGUAAUGAAUUUUUAAUAAAAAUUUCUCAGGAGAAAUUUCUUUUACUAUGACUGGCCUUUUUGUUUAAUCUCAAAACCAGAGUUAAUAAUAUACUCUGAGGUUACUUCAGACGUAGAACAAUGCCAGUGUAUGCUUUUCCUUUGUAUAACCUGUCCUUAAGGGACUAAUGGAACAACCAACCUUACUUGCCUUGAGUUUUAAGUAACCAAUCAUUAUAAUCUGAUGUAAGGCAUAGCUGUUAUUUUAAAAUAUGUUUUUCAAUGCUUCUGACCCAGAGUGUAAUGAAUUUUUAUCUAUGUAAGUGUUACAAUGAUCACAUUUGGAAAAUGGUAAAUAGGAUAAAAGCUGUUUUUAAAAAUGAAUACCCACCACAAAUAUUGAAUAAAACAUACAAAUAGUGCAUG